Molecule: microRNA, 18 nt
Filed under: Chiloscyllium plagiosum (whitespotted bambooshark)
Lineage: Eukaryota; Metazoa; Chordata; Chondrichthyes; Orectolobiformes; Hemiscylliidae
Description: microRNA PC-5p-579981_1
Source: RNAcentral
CAAUGGAUGUUAUCUUCC